GACGAACGCUGGCGGCGUGCUUAACACAUGCAAGUCGAACGAAGAGCGAUGGAAGCUUGCUUCUAUCAAUCUUAGUGGCGAACGGGUGAGUAACGCGUAAUCAACCUGCCCUUCAGAGGGGGACAACAGUAGGAAACGACUGCUAAUACCGCAUACGAUCUAAUCUCGGCAUCGAGGAUAGAUGAAAGGUGGCCUCUACAUGUAAGCUAUCACUGAAGGAGGGGAUUGCGUCUGAUUAGCUAGUUGGAGGGGGAACGGCCCACCAAGGCGAUGAUCAGUAGCCGGUCUGAGAGGAUGAACGGCCACAUUGGGACUGGGACACGGCCCAGACUCCUACGGGAGGCAGCAGUGGGGAAUCUUCCGCAAUGGACGAAAGGCUGACGGAGCAACGCCGCGUGAGUGAUGACGGCCUUCGGGUUGUAAAGCUCUGUUAAUCGGGACGAAAGGCCUUCUUGCGAAUAGUGAGAAGGAUUGACGGUACCGGAAUAGAAAGCCACGGCUAACUACGUG
RNAcentral lists this ribosomal RNA (510 nucleotides) under uncultured bacterium. RNAcentral describes it as "partial 16S ribosomal RNA". It matches the Rfam family "Bacterial small subunit ribosomal RNA", at positions 28 to 507 of the family's 1533-position model. The record is from RNAcentral.